Molecule: ribosomal RNA, 1196 nt
Filed under: metagenome
Description: bacterial SSU rRNA
Rfam family: Bacterial small subunit ribosomal RNA
Source: RNAcentral
ACUGGGACUGAGACACGGCCCAGACUUCUACGGAAGGCAGCAGUGGGGAAUUUUCCGCAAUGGGCGAAAGCCUGACGGAGCGACGCCGCGUGGGUGAAUAAAUUCUUCGGAAUGUAAAGCCCUGUCAGUAGGGAAGAAAAAAUGACGGUACCUACAGAGGAAGCAUCGGCUAACUACGUGCCAGCAGCCGCGGUAAUACGUAGGAUGCGAGCGUUGUUCGGAAUUACUGGGCGUAAAGAGUACGUAGGCGGUGUUGAAAGUUUGAUAUUAAAGACUGGGGCUCAACUUCAGGAGUGUAUCAAAGACUUCAACGCUAGAGAUUAAUAGGGGAAGUUGGAAUUCUCAGUGUAGUGGUGAAAUGCGUAGAUAUUGGGAAGAACACCAGUGGCGAAAGCGAACUUCUGGGUUAAAACUGACGCUGAGGUACGAAAGCGUGGGGAGCGAACGGGAUUAGAUACCCCGGUAGUCCACGCGGUAAACGAUGGAUACUAGAUGUAGCAGGUCUCGACCCCUGCUGUGUCGUAGCAAACGCGAUAAGUAUCCCGCCUGGGGAGUAUGGCCGCAAGGUUGAAACUCAAAGGAAUUGACGGGGGCCCGCACAAGCGGUGGAGGAUGUGGUUUAAUUCGACGCAACGCGAAGAACCUUACCAAGGCUUGACAUAUAAGAGAUUGUUUAGAGAUAGACAAGUGCCAGAAAUGGAAUCUUAAUACAGGUGGUGCAUGGCUGUCGUCAGCUCGUGUCGUGAGAUGUUGGGUUAAGUCCCGCAACGAGCGCAACCCUCGAUGUUAGUUGCCAACAGGUAAUGCUGGGGACUCUAACAUGACUGCCGGUGACAAAUCGGAGGAAGGUGAGGACGACGUCAAGUCAGCAUGCCCCUUACGCCUUGGGCUACACACGUCCUACAAUGGCAGGGACAAAGGGCCGCAAAACUGCGAAGUAGAGCGAAUCCCAUAAACCUUGUCUAAGUUCGGAUUGCAGGCUGCAACUCGCCUGCAUGAAGUCGGAAUCGCUAGUAACUGUAGAUCAGCAUGCUACAGUGAAUACGUUCCCGGGCCUUGUACACACCGCCCGUCACACCACGAAGGUUUGUCAUACCCGAAGCCUGUGGGCUAACCGCAAGGAGGCAGCAGUCUAAGGUAGGGCAGAUGAUUGGGGUGAAGUCGUAACAAGGUAGCCGUACUGGAAGGUGCGGCUG